RNAcentral lists this ribosomal RNA (495 nucleotides) under uncultured bacterium. Its description in RNAcentral is "partial 16S ribosomal RNA". It matches the Rfam family "Bacterial small subunit ribosomal RNA", at positions 28 to 507 of the family's 1533-position model. The record is from RNAcentral.
GACGAACGCUGGCGGCGUGCCUAAUACAUGCAAGUAGAACGCUGAAGGAGGAGCUUGCUCUUCUGGAUGAGUUGCGAACGGGUGAGUAACGCGUAGGUAACCUGCCUGGUAGCGGGGGAUAACUAUUGGAAACGAUAGCUAAUACCGCAUAACAGUAGAUGUUGCAUGACAUUUACUUAAAAGGUGCAAUUGCAUCACUACCAGAUGGACCUGCGUUGUAUUAGCUAGUUGGUGGGGUAACGGCUCACCAAGGCGACGAUACAUAGCCGACCUGAGAGGGUGAUCGGCCACACUGGGACUGAGACACGGCCCAGACUCCUACGGGAGGCAGCAGUAGGGAAUCUUCGGCAAUAGACGGAAGUCUGACCGAGCAACGCCGCGUGAGUGAAGAAGGUUUUCGGAUCGUAAAGCUCUGUUGUAAGAGAAGAACGAGUGUGAGAGUGGAAAGUUCACACUGUGACGGUAUCUUACCAGAAAGGGACGGCUAACUACGUG